Long non-coding RNA from Lingula anatina, 703 nucleotides. The record is from RefSeq and is a predicted model, not a curated record. Lineage: Eukaryota; Metazoa; Brachiopoda; Lingulata; Lingulida; Lingulidae.
UUUUACUAAUUUAUUGAGCCAGAAUACAUGACUUUCAACAGUGCAUUUUUUUUCUUUUUUCAGAGAGCAUAGUUUUCAGAAGUAUAUUUAUUGCCUGUACUCCUGUCCAGAAGCACACUUUAGUAUCAAAAAAUUAAAAGCCAGAAGUUAUAUAAAUGAUACACAUUUCAUUUUACAUACCAUGCAAAACUAUUAACUUCAAACCAGAAGAACACCUGUACACUUGUCCAAGUCCACGUUACAUCCCCGUAAGAUAACAAGAACAUUCAAGGAGGAAAUAAUUUGGUUUUAGGAUUAAUUUAAUUUUUUUUCCUAUUAUGUUACCAUCCUUUACUGCAAAAUGUUAUCUCAGAGGGGAAUAGUGCUAAAAUUGGUGACAAACACAUAAUUGCCCACCAAAUUACCAAAUAUUUAAUUCUACCUACAUGUAUGAAUAUAAACAUAUAGAGCAGUGAGACUUCUUCCUACUGUUCCAUUUCUGAGACAUGGCUUACAGAGAAGAAGCACACAAAGAGAGACUUGAUCUCUUACAUAUGCUACAGUUGUCUCCACAGUCCAGGACACCAGACACUGUUCUGGAGUGGACUGAGCUUCAUAUAGACUCUGAUGGUAUAGACAACCUACCAGAGUCCAUUGACAGGUGUAGAAAUGUUAAGAAAAUAUAUGCAGCAUUCAGCAGGUUAUCUUCUUUGCCACAGUCCAU